AACCAAUCGAUGAAAAAUAAAAAGCAGUUUCAUACCUCGCAUUUGUUACAUUUUUUUUCUUUUCAAAUAUCUCCUAUACUUGUCAUGUUCCGUCAAGUAUUUUGCUUUCCAAAAGAGCUCCCACAAAAAAGUUCAAGCUUGGCUGUUCUAGAAAGUAACAACGAUUUCAACAUGGACUACGGCAUAUCACGACAUUGAUGAAAAAUAUAAAGCAGUUUCAUACCUCGCCUUUGUUACAUUUUUUUUUCUUUUUAAAUAUCUCCGAUACUUGUCAUGUUCCGUCAAGUAUUUCGCUUUCCAAAAGAGCUCCCACAAAAAAAGUUUAAGCUUCGCUGUUCUAGAAAAUAACAACGAUUUCAACAUGGACUACGGCAUAUCACAUAUAGACAAUAAAAGACAAAAAUUAAACCUGAAAAUCAAUAAACGCAAAUAUUCAAUUUUUU
Molecule: long non-coding RNA, 443 nt
Organism: Leptinotarsa decemlineata (Colorado potato beetle)
Lineage: Eukaryota; Metazoa; Arthropoda; Insecta; Coleoptera; Chrysomelidae
Source: RefSeq, a predicted model, not a curated record